RNAcentral lists this unclassified non-coding RNA (279 nucleotides) under plant metagenome. RNAcentral describes it as "partial contains small subunit ribosomal RNA, internal transcribed spacer 1, and 5.8S ribosomal RNA". The record is from RNAcentral.
UUUCCGUAGGUGAACCUGCGGAAGGAUCAUUACAGAGCACAUGAACGAAAGGGUAUAUCUCAAACUUUAGAGCAUUAGCACUUUGGUCCUUUGGCGAGCGCCAGGCCGCCAGAGAAUAUCAAAAUCCUUUUUAUUAAUGUCGUAUGAGUAUUAGUUAAUAGUUAAAACUGUCAACAAUGGAUACAAUGGUUCUGGCAUCGACGAAGAACGUAGCAGAUCGAAAAAGCCGAAGUAUGAACCCUCGUCACGCCAAGUCCAACCGGAUAUCUCGUUUCCCGU